This 434-nucleotide ribosomal RNA is filed under the name uncultured bacterium. RNAcentral describes it as "partial 16S ribosomal RNA". It matches the Rfam family "Bacterial small subunit ribosomal RNA", at positions 29 to 506 of the family's 1533-position model. The record is from RNAcentral.
AGCGAACGCUGGCGGCAGGCUUAACACAUGCAAGUCGAGCGGGCACUUUCGGGUGUCAGCGGCGGACGGGUGAGUAACGCGUGGGAACGUGCCCUCUGGUUCGGAAUAACUCAGGGAAACUUGAGCUAAUACCGGAUACGCCCUUUUGGGGAAAGGCUUGCUGCCGGAGGAUCGGCCCGCGUCUGAUUAGCUAGUUGGUGAGGUAACGGCUCGCCAAGGCGACGAUCAGUAGCUGGUCUGAGAGGAUGAUCAGCCACACUGGGACUGAGACACGGCCCAGACUCCUACGGGAGGCAGCAGUGGGGAAUAUUGGACAAUGGGCGCAAGCCUGAUCCAGCCAUGCCGCGUGAGUGAUGAAGGCCUUAGGGUGGUAAAGCUCUUUUAUCCGGGACGAUAAUGACGGUACCGGAGGAAUAAGCCCCGGCUAACUUCGU